GGAGCAGUGGGGAAUUUUGGACAAUGGGGGAAACCCUGAUCCAGCCAUCCCGCGUGUGCGAUGAAGGCCUUCGGGUUGUAAAGCACUUUUGGCAGGAAAGAAACGUCGCGGGCUAAUACCCCGCGGAACUGACGGUACCUGCAGAAUAAGCACCGGCUAACUACGUGCCAGCAGCCGCGGUAAUACGUAGGGUGCAAGCGUUAAUCGGAAUUACUGGGCGUAAAGCGUGCGCAGGCGGUUCGGAAAGAAAGAUGUGAAAUCCCAGAGCUUAACUUUGGAACUGCAUUUUUAACUACCGGGCUAGAGUGUGUCAGAGGGAGGUGGAAUUCCGCGUGUAGCAGUGAAAUGCGUAGAUAUGCGGAGGAACACCGAUGGCGAAGGCAGCCUCCUGGGAUAACACUGACGCUCAUGCACGAAAGCGUGGGGAGCAAACAGGAUUAGAUACCCUGGUAGUCCACGCCCUAAACGAUGUCAACUAGCUGUUGGGGCCUUCGGGCCUUGGUAGCGCAGCUAACGCGUGAAGUGACCGCCUGGGAGACGCG
Molecule: ribosomal RNA, 542 nt
Filed under: Achromobacter sp. JE1
Lineage: Bacteria; Pseudomonadati; Pseudomonadota; Betaproteobacteria; Burkholderiales; Alcaligenaceae
Description: bacterial SSU rRNA
Rfam family: Bacterial small subunit ribosomal RNA
Source: RNAcentral